UCAGCACUAUGACGUCAGGACACGGGCUAGUGGUGAUGGGCUAUCAGCACUGAUAUCAGGACAGGACACGGGUUAGUGGUGAUGGGCUGUCAGCACUAUGACGUCAGGACACGGGUUAGUGGUGAUGGGCUAUCAGCACUAUGACGUCAGGACACGGGCUAGUGGUGAUGGGCUAUCAGCACUGAUAUCAGGACAGGACACGGGUUAGUGGUGAUGGGCUGUCAGCACUAUGACGUCAGGACACGGGUUAGUGGUGAUGGGCUAUCAGCACUAUGACGUCAGGACACGGGCUAGUGGUGAUGGGCUAUCAGCACUG
Long non-coding RNA from Alexandromys fortis (reed vole), 316 nucleotides. RefSeq lists it as uncharacterized. The transcript is spliced from 3 exons. The record is from RefSeq and is a predicted model, not a curated record. Lineage: Eukaryota; Metazoa; Chordata; Mammalia; Rodentia; Cricetidae.